Unclassified non-coding RNA from Pongo abelii (Sumatran orangutan), 148 nucleotides. It matches the Rfam family "Metazoan signal recognition particle RNA". From Rfam's summary of the family: The signal recognition particle (SRP) is a universally conserved ribonucleoprotein. It is involved in the co-translational targeting of proteins to membranes. The eukaryotic SRP consists of a 300-nucleotide 7S RNA and six proteins: SRPs 72, 68, 54, 19, 14, and 9. Lineage: Eukaryota; Metazoa; Chordata; Mammalia; Primates; Hominidae. The record is from Ensembl.
GCCAGGCGUGGUGGCGUACGCCUAUAAUCCCAGUUGCUCAGGAGGCUGAGACAGAAGAAUUGCUUGAACCCGGGAGGUGGAGAUUGCAGUGAGCCAAGAUCGUGCCACUGCAUUCCAGCCUGGGUGACAGAGCGAGACUCUGUCUCAA